This 73-nucleotide transfer RNA is filed under the name Spirochaetes bacterium DG_61. RNAcentral describes it as "tRNA-Lys". Lineage: Bacteria; Pseudomonadati; Spirochaetota. The record is from RNAcentral.
UGGCCGUUAUCUCAGCUGGUACAGCAGCCUACUCUUAAUCUGCGGGUCGGAGAUUCGAUCUCUCAACGGCUCA